UGUGCCCAGUGCUGUCCUAUGAGCUUUCCAUGUAUCAGUUCCAUGUAUUCAGACUGCUUGGUAAUUCCACUUGGGGGACCCUGCCAUUGUUUCCAUUUUACAGAUGGGGAAGCUGAGGCUGGAGAGGACAAAUAACUUACACACAACUGGAAAAUGGAGGGUCCAGGAUUUGGACUUAGUCUGGCUCUGCUGAGUGAUUCUUUAGGACAUCUGUCUGCCUCGUGUGUGUCAUCUACAGAGAAUCAGAAUCAGCCCAGGACAAGCAAUGAUGGUGUUUCCUUCUUGUCUUUGGAAUGUUGGAAGUAUUAUCCCUUCUGCCUGAAGUCCUAUAGCCUCUCUUUGUGCCUCUGCAACAGCAGACCUGGCUAUGGAGCCACGAGUGUAGCAGAUCCAUCAUCAGAGAACGUGAUUAUGAUGAUUUCAUGAUCAACAUCCAUUUUUAUGUGCUGGAAGGCUGCUGCCCCCAGUGCACUCUGUUUUGUUGCUGAGACCUUUUCUGCUGUCCAGUAAGUUAGACGGUGGGUUUCACCCUGAACAAGAAGAAAACCAACAUCAACACCAACUAAAUUCAUCCACCACUGAGGUGAGCUGCUGCAGAUGGACAGAACCGAGCUUCUGUAUUUUCUUCUCAUUUGGACUCAGCAAAUUUCCCGUGAUUUCCAGAAAUGAGGAGAUAAGAAAGUCUUUGCUCUGUACUUUGAAGAACUCACCCAACCAGGAGGC
This is a long non-coding RNA of Nycticebus coucang (slow loris), 723 nucleotides long. RefSeq lists it as uncharacterized. The transcript is spliced from 5 exons. Lineage: Eukaryota; Metazoa; Chordata; Mammalia; Primates; Lorisidae. The record is from RefSeq and is a predicted model, not a curated record.